RNAcentral lists this ribosomal RNA (406 nucleotides) under uncultured bacterium. Its description in RNAcentral is "partial 16S ribosomal RNA". It matches the Rfam family "Bacterial small subunit ribosomal RNA", at positions 29 to 526 of the family's 1533-position model. The record is from RNAcentral.
AUUGAACGCUGGCGGCAGGCCUAACACAUGCAAGUCGAGCGAGCGGCGGACGGGUGAGUAAUGUCUGGGAAACUGCCUGAUGGAGGGGGAUAACUACUGGAAACGGUAGCUAAUACCGCAUACCAUCAGAUGUGCCCAGAUGGGAUUGGCUAGUGGGUGGGGUAAUGGCUCACCUAGGCGACGAUCCCUAGCUGGUCUGAGAGGAUGACCAGCAACACGGGAACUGCGACACGGGCAAGACUCCUACGGGAGGAAGCAGGGGGGAAUCUUGGACAAGGGGCGAAAGCCUGAUGCAGCCAGGCCGCGUGUGUGAAGAAGGCCUUCGGGUUGUAAAGCACUUUCAGCGGGGAGGCGUUACCCGCAGAAGAAGCAACGGCGAACUCCGUGCCAGCAGCCGCGGUAAUAC